GUUGGUGAUUUGUCGUAGGGGAAACACCUUUUUACAUUCCGAACAAAGAAGUUAAGCCUUACUGAGCCGAUGAUACUCCUUGUGGGGAAAGUAGGUUGUCGCCAACA
Molecule: ribosomal RNA, 107 nt
Filed under: Patescibacteria group bacterium
Lineage: Bacteria
Source: RNAcentral